CCUACGGGAGGCAGCAGUGAGGAAUAUUGGUCAAUGGGCGCGAGCCUGAACCAGCCAAGUCGCGUGAGGGAAGACGGUCCUAUGGAUUGUAAACCUCUUUUGUCGGGGAGCAAAAGACGCCACGUGUGGCGUUCCGAGAGUACCCGACGAACAAGCAUCGGCUAACUCCGUGCCAGCAGCCGCGGUAAUACGGAGGAUGCGAGCGUUAUCCGGAUUUAUUGGGUUUAAAGGGUGCGCAGGCGGAAGAUCAAGUCAGCGGUAAAAUUGAGAGGCUCAACCUCUUCGAGCCGUUGAAACUGGUGUUCUUGAGUGAGCGAGAAGUAUGCGGAAUGCGUGGUGUAGCGGUGAAAUGCAUAGAUAUCACGCAGAACUCCGAUUGCGAAGGCAGCAUACCGGCGCUCAACUGACGCUCAUGCACGAAAGUGUGGGUAUCGAACAGGAUUAGAUACCCGGGUAGUC
Molecule: ribosomal RNA, 459 nt
Filed under: uncultured bacterium
Lineage: Bacteria
Description: partial 16S ribosomal RNA
Rfam family: Bacterial small subunit ribosomal RNA
Source: RNAcentral